Molecule: ribosomal RNA, 518 nt
Filed under: Escherichia coli
Lineage: Bacteria; Pseudomonadati; Pseudomonadota; Gammaproteobacteria; Enterobacterales; Enterobacteriaceae
Description: partial 23S ribosomal RNA
Rfam family: Bacterial large subunit ribosomal RNA
Source: RNAcentral
UGUGUGUUAGUGGAAGCGUCUGGAAAGGCGCGCGAUACAGGGUGACAGCCCCGUACACAAAAAUGCACAUGCUGUGAGCUCGAUGAGUAGGGCGGGACACGUGGUAUCCUGUCUGAAUAUGGGGGGACCAUCCUCCAAGGCUAAAUACUCCUGACUGACCGAUAGUGAACCAGUACCGUGAGGGAAAGGCGAAAAGAACCCCGGCGAGGGGAGUGAAAAAGAACCUGAAACCGUGUACGUACAAGCAGUGGGAGCACGCUUAGGCGUGUGACUGCGUACCUUUUGUAUAAUGGGUCAGCGACUUAUAUUCUGUAGCAAGGUUAACCGAAUAGGGGAGCCGAAGGGAAACCGAGUCUUAACUGGGCGUUAAGUUGCAGGGUAUAGACCCGAAACCCGGUGAUCUAGCCAUGGGCAGGUUGAAGGUUGGGUAACACUAACUGGAGGACCGAACCGACUAAUGUUGAAAAAUUAGCGGAUGACUUGUGGCUGGGGGUGAAAGGCCAAUCAAACCGGGAGAU